AUUGAACGCUGGCGGCAUGCCUUACACAUGCAAGUCGAACGGUAACAGGUCUUCGGAUGCUGACUAGUGGCGGACGGGGGCGUAAUACAUCGGAACGUGCCCGAUCCUGGGGGAUAACGGAGCGAAACGUUGGCUAAUACCGCAUACGAUCUACGGAGUACAGCCGGGGACCGCAAGGGCUUUUGCGGACUUAGCGGCCGAUGUCGGAUUAGGUAGUUGGUGGUAUAAAAGCUUACCAAGCCGACGAUCUGUAGCUGGUCUGAGAGGAAGACCAGCCACACUGGAACUGAGACACGGCCCAGACUCCUACGGGAGGCAGCAGUGGGGAAUUUUGGACAAUGGGCGAAAGCCUGAUCCAGCCAUGCCGCGUGCAGGAUGAAGGCCUUCGGGUUGUAAACUGCUUUUGUACGGAAAGAAAAGAAUCUUUCUAAUAAAGAGGGUCCAUGACGGUACCGUAAGAAUAAGCACCGGCUAACUACGUG
RNAcentral lists this ribosomal RNA (482 nucleotides) under uncultured bacterium. Its description in RNAcentral is "partial 16S ribosomal RNA". It matches the Rfam family "Bacterial small subunit ribosomal RNA", at positions 30 to 507 of the family's 1533-position model. The record is from RNAcentral.